This is a non-coding RNA of Peromyscus maniculatus bairdii (prairie deer mouse), 725 nucleotides long. NCBI's taxonomy places the organism in Eukaryota, Metazoa, Chordata, Mammalia, Rodentia, Cricetidae. The record is from RefSeq and is a predicted model, not a curated record.
CCACAUACAGAAGAAUGACCUUUGUAACCUGGUGAUUUCUAGAAGUCUCAUCAGUCAUGUUUGCUCCAUCUGAACUUGACUGUUGCCUUUAAGAUGCCAGGGAGUUCUGCCUAAGAUUCACAAGCAUCUUCACACUCCACUCCCGCCCCCACCUCUUCUACAGUCUCAGUGACACACCCACAUGGUGGCUUGUGAAUCCCACAUGCUUUCUGUGGGGGUGAGUGCUGGCAAAUGAUUUAAAUAGGCUUUAGCUUCUGAUGGAUGAACUGCUUCUUUGUGGUCCGAAGCCUGCAAGAAAAGCCAGCAGAGGCUGCAAUCCAUGUUCCCCACCUUGCUGACAAGGGGAUGGGGUGGCUUUCCAGUGAGACUUGUCUGAGGGACCACACGAAAAUGCCACACUGCAAAGCUGACAUGAAGCACACAGGCACAUGACCGACACCAGAGAGUGAAGAAUGGUGGUGAUGAGAUGUGACCUGCCUGAAAUGAGAUGACUGGUGAGUGACAGCAUGGGGAUUUGAAUUCAUGGCCAGAGUUGUGAGACAAAAGAACAUCCUUUGGUCUAACACUUGACGGUUUCUGAAGCUGGCCCAUAAAGGAGCAUAUCAACAAGAUGGAUGAUGGCUACUGUGGCCAGAUGUGGCCUGUGCACGUUCCAGAGAUUCUCAACUGCUGUGCACACAGUGCAUGUUUCCAUGAAGGAACACACUCAAGAGAGCUACAAAUAA